This 65-nucleotide transfer RNA is filed under the name Phytosciara flavipes. RNAcentral describes it as "tRNA-Tyr". The record is from RNAcentral. Lineage: Eukaryota; Metazoa; Arthropoda; Insecta; Diptera; Sciaridae.
AAUUAGAUGGCUGAUAAAAGCAAUAAAUUGUAAAUUUAUUUAUAAGACUAUAUUCUUUCUGAUUA